AAUCAACGCUGGCGGCGUGCCUAACACAUGCAAGUCGAACGCGAAAGCCCGCAAGGGUAAGUAGAGUGGCGCACGGGUGAGUAACACGUGGACAACCUGCCUUCGAGUGGGGAAUAACCUUCCGAAAGGAGGGCUAAUACCGCAUAACACCUCGGGACACAAGUUCUGGGGUUGAAAAGAGCAAUUUGCUCGAAGAGGGGUCCGCGCCUGAUUAGCUAGUUGGUGAGGUAACGGCUCACCAAGGCUUCGAUCAGUAGCCGUCCCUGA
Molecule: ribosomal RNA, 267 nt
Filed under: uncultured bacterium
Lineage: Bacteria
Description: partial 16S ribosomal RNA
Rfam family: Bacterial small subunit ribosomal RNA
Source: RNAcentral